RNAcentral lists this long non-coding RNA (959 nucleotides) under Triticum aestivum (bread wheat). RNAcentral describes it as "long non-coding RNA (TAES_LNC017896)". Lineage: Eukaryota; Viridiplantae; Streptophyta; Magnoliopsida; Poales; Poaceae. The record is from RNAcentral.
AUAACAGAAUAUGUGAUUGGAGUGGACUAUGCAGAAAUUUACCGGAGCUCCUCCCUGUACAGGUAAGCCAGAUAAUCAUAAAGCUACAGAAAUUGUACUGUUAAACUGGUAUGAACAAUAGGGGAAAGAUAAACAAAAUGAAUAUGUACCUUGUUUCUGCAGGGAGAACAUGCUUCUAAUUGAAGAGCUGGGGCAACCAGCGCCAAACACCGUGGAUCUACAUUUUCCCCCAGGAUAUUGGCAGAACUUUAGGGCGCAGUGCAUGGCUUGCCUGUGGAAACAAAGAUGUGCAUACUGGAAAAACUCAGAACACAAUGUUGUUCGGUUCCUAAACACGUUUGCUGUAUCAAUUAUGUUUGGAAUUGUAUUCUGGAAAAUUGGCUCAACCAUGUAAGCAGGAUGACGACAAGCGAGAUAAUUUUCUUUCAUGCAAGCUUAUCAUGCCUCAAUUAGCUCAUAACUUUGUAUUCCUAUGCAACAGAAAACGGGAGCAAGAUGUAUUCAACAUACUAGGGGUUGUAUAUGGAUCAGCACUGUUUCUGGGCUUCAUGAAUUGCAGCAUCUUACAGCCAGUUGUGGCAAUGGAGAGAGUUGUUCUUUACCGAGAAAAGGCAGCAGGCAUGUACUGUACCUUGGCCUACGCCAUAGCUCAGGUAAUACUACUUUAUCAUUCUCUUCAAAAGUAAAACAGAUAAUCUGGACCUAAAAUGAUUGGCAUAUGUUUUCUAAACUCCGAUGCUGGAUUUCUGUUUGCAGAUGGCAAUUGAAUUGCCUUACAUGCUUGUCCAAGUGCUCAUCUUCGCAUCAAUCGUAUACCCAAUGAUUGGGUUCGAGAUGACAGCCGUUAAGUUCUUUUGGUUUGUUCUUUACAUGGUGCUAAGCUUCAUGUACUACACACUCUACGGGAUGAUGACAGUCGCACUAACACCUAACCUUGAGAUAGCUGCCGGAUUGUCCUU